AGAGUUUGAUCCUGGCUCAGGAUGAACGCUAGCGGCAGGCUUAACACAUGCAAGUCGAGGGGUAACAGGGAAGCUUGCUUCCGCUGACGACCGGCGCACGGGUGCGUAACGCGUAUGCAACCUACCUCAUACUGGAGAAUAGCCCUUGGAAACGAGGAUUAAUGCUCCAUAGUAUCAUAGAUUCGCAUGUUUCUGUGAUUAAAGAAUUUCGGUAUGAGAUGGGCAUGCGUCCCAUUAGCUUGUUGGUGAGGUAACGGCUCACCAAGGCAACGAUGGGUAGGGGGCCUGAGAGGGUGACCCCCCACACUGGUACUGAGACACGGACCAGACUCCUACGGGAGGCAGCAGUGAGGAAUAUUGGGCAAUGGAGGCAACUCUGACCCAGCCAUGCCGCGUGAAGGAUGACUGCCCUAUGGGUUGUAAACUUCUUUUAUAUGGGAAGAAACUUAUCUACGUGUAGAUAACUGACGGUACCAUACGAAUAAGGAUCGGCUAACCCCGUGCCAGCAGCCGCGGUAAUACGGAGGAUCCAAGCGUUAUCCGGAUUCAUUGGGUUUAAAGGGUCCGUAGGCGGGUCUUUAAGUCAGUGGUGAAAGCCGACAGCUCAACUGUCGAACUGCCAUUGAUACUGGAGACCUUGAGUACAAAUGAAGUAGGCGGAAUGAGUCAUGUAGCGGUGAAAUGCAUAGAUAUGACUCAGAACACCGAUUGCGAAGGCAGCUAACUAACAUGUAACUGACGCUGAGGGACGAAAGCGUGGGGAGCGAACAGGAUUAGAUACCCUGGUAGUCCACGCCGUAAACGAUCAUCACUCGCUGUUGGCGA
RNAcentral lists this ribosomal RNA (825 nucleotides) under uncultured Bacteroidota bacterium. Its description in RNAcentral is "bacterial SSU rRNA". It matches the Rfam family "Bacterial small subunit ribosomal RNA", at positions 8 to 829 of the family's 1533-position model. The record is from RNAcentral. Lineage: Bacteria; Pseudomonadati; Bacteroidota.